AGCUUUGUGCAGUGGUGGUAUCGUAACCAAUGAGGUUUAUCCGAGGCGCGAUUAUUGCUAACUGAAACUUUCUUCUCUUUGGAAGACUUUCUCUCCUUCUUGGGAUUGCCAAUUUCUUUUCAAAACUUCCUGGUU
Molecule: small nuclear RNA, 135 nt
Filed under: Ophiophagus hannah (king cobra)
Lineage: Eukaryota; Metazoa; Chordata; Lepidosauria; Squamata; Elapidae
Description: U4 spliceosomal RNA
Rfam family: U4 spliceosomal RNA
About the family: U4 small nuclear RNA (U4 snRNA) is a component of the major U2-dependent spliceosome.
Source: Rfam by way of RNAcentral